This 284-nucleotide ribosomal RNA is filed under the name Streptococcus pneumoniae. Its description in RNAcentral is "partial 16S ribosomal RNA". It matches the Rfam family "Bacterial small subunit ribosomal RNA", at positions 493 to 776 of the family's 1533-position model. The record is from RNAcentral. Lineage: Bacteria; Bacillati; Bacillota; Bacilli; Lactobacillales; Streptococcaceae.
CCGGCUAACUCUGUGCCAGCAGCCGCGGUAAUACAGAGGGUGCAAGCGUUAAUCGGAAUUACUGGGCGUAAAGCGCGCGUAGGUGGUUUGUUAAGUUGGAUGUGAAAGCCCCGGGCUCAACCUGGGAACUGCAUCCAAAACUGGCAAGCUAGAGUACGGUAGAGGGUGGUGGAAUUUCCUGUGUAGCGGUGAAAUGCGUAGAUAUAGGAAGGAACACCAGUGGCGAAGGCGACCACCUGGACUGAUACUGACACUGAGGUGCGAAAGCGUGGGGAGCAAACAGG